This 724-nucleotide long non-coding RNA is filed under the name Ananas comosus (pineapple). Its description in RNAcentral is "long non-coding RNA (ACOM_LNC034549)". The record is from RNAcentral. Lineage: Eukaryota; Viridiplantae; Streptophyta; Magnoliopsida; Poales; Bromeliaceae.
GUUUGGGUUUGGAUUUAUUUGGGUCCAAGUUUGGGUUCUGGUUUUAUGUGUGGACUUGGUUUGGGUUUGGAUUUAUUUGGGUCCAAGUUUGGGUUUAUUUGGGUUUUGGGUUUAGGUUUAUUUGGGUUUGGGUUUGGGUUUGAUUUUGGGUUCGGGUUUUGGUCUUAUUUGUGGACUUGGUUCAGGUUGGGUUUAGAUUUGAUUUAGGUUGGGUUUUGGUUUUAUGUGUGGAAUGGGUUUGGAUUUUAUUUGGGUUUGGGUUUUGGUUUGAUUUGAGUUUGGGUUUUGGUUUUAUGUGUGGAAUGGGUUAGGAUUUUAUUUGGGUUUGGGUUUGCGUUUGAUUUGAGUUUGGGUUUUGGUUUUAUUUGGGGAAUGGGUUUGGAUUUUAUUUGGGUUUGUAGGUGAACUUGAUUUGCAAUUUGGGUUCGCAUAUGAACUUAAUUUGCAAUUUGGGUUCGCAUAUGAACUUAAUUUGCAGUUUAAGUUCGUGUAUAGACUUGAUUUGCAAUUUGAUUUGGGGUCCGAAGAAAUCCCCUUUUGAUUUUGCAAUUUGAUUUGGGGUCCGAAGAAAUCCCCUUUUGAUUUUGCCAUUAGAUUUGGGGUCCGAAGAAAUCCCCUAUUGAUUUUGCAAUUGAAUUUGGGGUCCGAAGAAAUCCCCUAUUGAUUUUGCAAUUGAAUUUGGGAUCCGAAGAAAUCCUCGUUUGAUUUGAAUUUGAAUUUAGGG